GACGAACGCUGGCGGCGUGCUUAACACAUGCAAGUCGAACGGAAAGGCCCUGCUUUUGUGGGGUGCUCGAGUGGCGAACGGGUGAGUAACACGUGAGUAACCUGCCCUUGACUUUGGGAUAACUUCAGGAAACUGGGGCUAAUACCGGAUAGGAGCUCCUGCUGCAUGGUGGGGGUUGGAAAGUUUCGGCGGUUGGGGAUGGACUCGCGGCUUAUCAGCUUGUUGGUGGGGUAGUGGCUUACCAAGGCUUUGACGGGUAGCCGGCCUGGGAGGGUGACCGGCCACAUUGGGACUGAGAUACGGCCCAGACUCCUACGGGAGGCAGCAGUGGGGAAUAUUGCACAAUGGGCGGAAGCCUGAUGCAGCAACGCCGCGUGCGGGAUGACGGCCUUCGGGCUGUAAACCGCUUUCGCCUGUGACGAAGCGUGAGUGACGGUAAUGGGUAAAGAAGCACCGGCUAACUACGUG
RNAcentral lists this ribosomal RNA (468 nucleotides) under uncultured bacterium. RNAcentral describes it as "partial 16S ribosomal RNA". It matches the Rfam family "Bacterial small subunit ribosomal RNA", at positions 28 to 507 of the family's 1533-position model. The record is from RNAcentral.